CCUACGGGUGGCAGCAGUGAGGAAUAUUGGUCAAUGGGCGAGAGCCUGAACCAGCCAAGUCGCGUGAAGGAUGACGGACCUAUGGUUUGUAAACCUCUUUUAUAUGGGAAUAAAGUGCGGAACGUGUUCCUUUUUGUAUGUCCCAUAUGAAUAAGCAUCGGCUAACUCCGUGCCAACAGCCGCGGUAAUACGGAGGAUGCGAGCGUUAUCCGGAUUUAUUGGGUUUAAAGGUGGCGUAGGUGGUUAAUUAAUUAAGCGGGGAAAGUUUGUGGUUCAACCAUAAAAUUGCCGUUGAAACUGGUUGACUUGAGUAUAUGUGAGGUAGGCGGAAUGCGUGGUGUAGCGGUGAAAUGCAUAGAUAUCACGCAGAACUCCGAUUGCGAAGGCAGCAUAC
This 394-nucleotide ribosomal RNA is filed under the name uncultured bacterium. RNAcentral describes it as "partial 16S ribosomal RNA". It matches the Rfam family "Bacterial small subunit ribosomal RNA", at positions 338 to 729 of the family's 1533-position model. The record is from RNAcentral.